GGAUGUGGUUCAAGUGGUGUGCGCUCGCCUAGCGUGCGUGAGGCACUGGGUUCGAUUCUCAGCACCA
RNAcentral lists this transfer RNA (67 nucleotides) under Marmota monax (woodchuck). RNAcentral's name for it is "tRNA.Ala". Lineage: Eukaryota; Metazoa; Chordata; Mammalia; Rodentia; Sciuridae. The record is from RNAcentral.